UACGUAGGGGGCAAGCGUUGUCCGGAUUUAUUGGGCGUAAAGAGCGUGUAGGCGGCCAUGCAGGUCAGCUGUGAAAACUCGAGGCUCAACCUCGAGACGUCGGUUGAAACCGCAUGGCUAGAGUCCGGAAGAGGAGAGUGGAAUUCCCGGUGUAGCGGUGAAAUGCGCAGAUAUCGGGAAGAACACCCGUGGCGAAGGCGGCUCUCUGGGACGGUACUGACGCUAAGACGCGAAAGCGUGGGGAGCGAACAGG
Molecule: ribosomal RNA, 253 nt
Filed under: uncultured bacterium
Lineage: Bacteria
Description: partial 16S ribosomal RNA
Rfam family: Bacterial small subunit ribosomal RNA
Source: RNAcentral